UCCCUGGUGGCUUAGCAGUAAAGAAUCCACCUGCAAUGUGGGCGACCUGGGUUCGAGCCCUAGGUGGGGAA
RNAcentral lists this transfer RNA (71 nucleotides) under Bos taurus (domestic cattle). It matches the Rfam family "tRNA". From Rfam's summary of the family: Transfer RNA (tRNA) molecules are approximately 80 nucleotides in length. Their secondary structure includes four short double-helical elements and three loops (D, anti-codon, and T loops). Lineage: Eukaryota; Metazoa; Chordata; Mammalia; Artiodactyla; Bovidae. RNAcentral also lists the same sequence under 1 other name. The record is from Rfam by way of RNAcentral.